GACGAACGCUGGCGGCGUGCUUAACACAUGCAAGUCGAACGGAAAGGCCCUGCUUUUGUGGGGUGCUCGAGUGGCGAACGGGUGAGUAACACGUGAGUAACCUGCCCUUGACUUUGGGAUAACUUCAGGAAACUGGGGCUAAUACCGGAUAGGAGCUCCUGCUGCAUGGUGGGGGUUGGAAAGUUUCGGCGGUUGGGGAUGGACUCGCGGCUUAUCAGCUUGUUGGUGGGGUAGUGGCUUACCAAGGCUUUGACGGGUAGCCGGCCUGAGAGGGUGACCGGCACAAUUGGGACUGGGAUACGGCCCAGACUCUUACGGGGGGCAGCGGUGGGGAAUAUUGCACAAGGGGCGGAAGCCUGAUGAGGAACCGCCGCGGGGGGGAUGACGGCCUUCGGGUUGUAAACCGCUUUCGCCUGUGACGAAGCGGGAGUGACGGUAAUGGGUAAAGAAGCACCGGCUAACUACGU
Molecule: ribosomal RNA, 467 nt
Filed under: uncultured bacterium
Lineage: Bacteria
Description: partial 16S ribosomal RNA
Rfam family: Bacterial small subunit ribosomal RNA
Source: RNAcentral